This 459-nucleotide ribosomal RNA is filed under the name uncultured bacterium. Its description in RNAcentral is "partial 16S ribosomal RNA". It matches the Rfam family "Bacterial small subunit ribosomal RNA", at positions 338 to 795 of the family's 1533-position model. The record is from RNAcentral.
CCUACGGGAGGCAGCAGUGAGGAAUAUUGGUCAAUGGGCGGGAGCCUGAACCAGCCAAGUCGCGUGAGGGAAGAAGGUACAGCGUAUCGUAAACCUCUUUUGUCAGGGAACAAAGGCGGGGACUAGUCCCCGGAUGAGGGUACCUGAAGAAAAAGCAUCGGCUAACUCCGUGCCAGCAGCCGCGGUAAUACGGAGGAUGCGAGCGUUAUCCGGAUUUAUUGGGUUUAAAGGGUGCGCAGGGGGCCUGUUAAGUCAGGGGGAAAAGCCCGGGGCGAAACCCCGGCGAGCCGUUGAAACUGGCGGGCGGGAGUUGGAGAGAAGUAGGCGGAAUGCGCGGUGUAGCGGUGAAAUGCUUAGAUAUCGCGCAGAACCCCGAUUGCGAAGGCAGCGUACCGGCUCCACACUGACGCUGAGGCACGAAAGCGUGGGUAUCGAACAGGAUUAGAUACCCUUGUAGUC